Molecule: transfer RNA, 73 nt
Filed under: archaeon CG_4_8_14_3_um_filter_38_5
Lineage: Archaea
Description: tRNA-Val
Rfam family: tRNA
About the family: Transfer RNA (tRNA) molecules are approximately 80 nucleotides in length.
Source: RNAcentral
GGGCUUGUGGUCUAGCGGUUAUGACGCCACCUUCACAAGGUGGAAGUCCACGGUUCAAAUCCGGGCAGGCCCA